RNAcentral lists this ribosomal RNA (253 nucleotides) under uncultured bacterium. Its description in RNAcentral is "partial 16S ribosomal RNA". It matches the Rfam family "Bacterial small subunit ribosomal RNA", at positions 524 to 776 of the family's 1533-position model. The record is from RNAcentral.
UACGUAGGGGGCAAGCGUUGUUCGGAAUUACUGGGCGUAAAGGGCGCGUAGGCGGCACGGCAAGUCGGGAGUGGAAGCCCGGGGCUCAACCCCGGAGGGUCUUCCGAAACUGCCGAGCUAGAGUGCGGAAGAGGCAACCGGAAUUCCCAGUGUAGCGGUGAAAUGCGUAGAUAUUGGGAAGAACACCGGAGGCGAAGGCGGGUUGCUGGGCCGACACUGACGCUGAGGCGCGAAAGCCAGGGGAGCAAACGGG